This 556-nucleotide non-coding RNA is filed under the name Pan troglodytes (chimpanzee). Lineage: Eukaryota; Metazoa; Chordata; Mammalia; Primates; Hominidae. The record is from RNAcentral.
CUCCCUGGUACCAUACCCCAGCCGAUGAGUAUGUACCCCCAGAAGUACUUCCGCUCAGAGAAGAAGGAGACGGCAAGCAGGGUGUACAGGGAAGGCCUCCCUCUCCAGGACUCCUUUAGAUUUCCCCAGCAUCCAGACCUCACCUGCCUAAGUGCUGUUGCCCUGGAAGCCACACAGUGAGCACGAGCUCCAUCUUGCCCCUUUACCAGCCAAUGGGGGUAAAGACAUUAGCUGAAAUGCUUCUAAGGGGCCAGGCGUGGUGACUCACGCUUGUAAUUCCAAGCACUUUGGGAGGCUGAGGCAGGUGGAUCACCUGAAGCCAGGAGUUCAAGAGCAGCCUGGCCAACAUGGCGAAACCCUGUCUCUACUAAAAAUACAAAAUUUAGCCAGGCAUGGUGGCGGGAGCCUGUAAUCUCAGCUCCUAGGGAGGCUGAGCCAGAAGAAUCACUUAAACCCGGAAGCUGGAGGUUGCAGUGAGCCAAGAUCACACCACCACACUCCAGCCUGGGUGACAGAACAAGACUCCAUCUCAAAAAAAAAAAAAAAAAAAAAAAAG